GAUGAACGCUGGCGGCGUGCCUAAUACAUGCAAGUCGAGCGAACGGACGAGAAGCUUGCUUCUCUGAUGUUAGCGGCGGACGGGUGAGUAACACGUGGAUAACCUACCUAUAAGACUGGGAUAACUUCGGGAAACCGGAGCUAAUACCGUAUAAUAUUUUGAACCGCAUGGUUCAAAAGUGAAAGACGGUCUUGCUGUCACUUAUAGCUGGAUCCGCGCUGCAUUAGCUAGUUGGUAAGGUAACGGCUUACCAAGGCAACGAUGCAUAGCCGACCUGAGAGGGUGAUCGGCCACACUGGAAAGGAGACACGGUCCAGACUCCUACGGGAGGCAGCAGUAGGGAAUCUUCCGCAAUGGGCGAAAGCAUGACGGAGAAACGCCGCGUGAGUGAUGAAGGUCUUCGGAUCGUAAAACUCGGUUAUUAGGGAAGAACAUAUGUGUAAGUAACUGUGUACAUCUUGACGGUACCUAAUCAGAAAGCCACGGCUAAAUACGUG
RNAcentral lists this ribosomal RNA (497 nucleotides) under uncultured bacterium. Its description in RNAcentral is "partial 16S ribosomal RNA". It matches the Rfam family "Bacterial small subunit ribosomal RNA", at positions 28 to 507 of the family's 1533-position model. The record is from RNAcentral.